AAAAAGAUAAGCUAAAUACUAAGCUAACGGGUUCAUACCCCGCUCAUGAAACAAAUUCUCUUUUUA
This 66-nucleotide transfer RNA is filed under the name Metcalfa pruinosa. RNAcentral's name for it is "tRNA-Met". The record is from RNAcentral. Lineage: Eukaryota; Metazoa; Arthropoda; Insecta; Hemiptera; Flatidae.